Poecilia latipinna (sailfin molly) is the source of this 425-nucleotide long non-coding RNA. RefSeq lists it as uncharacterized. The record is from RefSeq and is a predicted model, not a curated record. The transcript is spliced from 2 exons. Lineage: Eukaryota; Metazoa; Chordata; Actinopteri; Cyprinodontiformes; Poeciliidae.
UCUGUGCUUUUCCAGGUCUCAGUUAUUUGGAAGUUUUUCUGGCAGACAUAAUCUAGCAACGUUGCAUGUGUGUGGCAUGCCAUGUCUCACAAAACUGUUAACUAAAGAGAAAAACACCUGACAGCAAUCCAGGAUUCCUGGUGGCUGUAUUAUCAUGAAACAUGAAAGACAACGGAAGGAAUUCUAUCAUCUAGAUCAACUGUCUGGAGCGCUCCCUGAGGCCCUGACCUGUUACAGCGGAAAUCAAUAGCCAGCAAAUUGUGCAUAGUCACAGGAGACGGAGCAGGGAAUUAGGACAAUGAAAAGAAGUUUCGACAUGGAGCAAAUGUAAAACAGGCUGAGUCACGGUGGAGAUUAGGCCGCCGCUGCUAUUGGAGUCAUCAUUGUUGCAAAUUAUCAUAUAAAAACAUCCAGAGUGAACAAUG